Molecule: long non-coding RNA, 2612 nt
Organism: Varanus komodoensis (Komodo dragon)
Lineage: Eukaryota; Metazoa; Chordata; Lepidosauria; Squamata; Varanidae
Exons: 3
Source: RefSeq, a predicted model, not a curated record
GCGAAAGAAACGGGAGGGGUGAGGGAGAGUGGAAUUGAGACCAGAUUCCCGUCAUGCAUCGAGGAGCGGAGGCGCGCGACGGUACCCAUAAGGCACUGAAAUGUGCAGAGCUCAAGGUGGUAUACAUGGUUCUUCCCCACUCCCUUUUGUGCUUCCAAAAACCCUGUGAUAUAUACAGUAAGUACCUGAGUUAUGAAUGUCCAAGUUAUGAACAACCUGUACUUAAACUGCCAUAAAUCCUAUUAAUUUAAAAAAUUUACUGCAGAAAAUUGUCAUCACCAUGGAAAGGAAGUGAAAGGGGAAAGAGGGAAGCCUCCAAAGCACGCCUUCCUACCCUGCCCAUCCAGAGAGGGAAAUCUCUCUGGUAUUUCCUUGCGACAAAGAGGAGGAACUGGUUGAGCAAAAUUGGCUCCCCAACAGAGACAGUUGCUGAAGGACCUUCACUUGGCACUUUGGUCAGGGACUCAAUGACUUCCUGAUGUUAAUCAAUCUAUGGGGAAUGGUUUCUAAGGGAGCAAUCUCUACCUUAGACCCAAAAUGGUAACCAGUCUCUAUACUGGGUACUGCUAUUGGAUAUUACCAUCUUGGAAGUAAAUUCCACUGAAUUCAGUGGGGUAACUUUUGAGAAGACAUGUACACUUUUGAGAAGACUGACAGGACUGCUUGGUCAUAAAUAGCAUUAUUAGACACAUAACUCUUAUGCCUUUACAGAUGCUUUAGAAAUUUGUUACAGCUCAGUUUUCAUCAGGAUUUAUUCAGUUCACCUUCUGGAUAAAACAGAGUCAAAUCUGUGGUUAGUCCAUACAUUUGGAGAAUUUCAACAAGUUCAAAGUUUGCUUAUACACACAUAUCCCUAUCAGUUAUUAAAAGCCUAGCUUUGUGUAUACCCUCAUACCUCAGUGGCAUUGUGCUUUUGUAAAGAUGUCAGUUCAUAGGGAUCCACAUACAAUCCUUUUGGAAGGUGUACUUUAAUUGCCACCAUGCAACUUCCUAUGGCUUCAUCAGCUGUACCAAGGUUUACCCUAAUCAGGAGUUCUCUAACAUUUAAAAGAAGAAAACAAAAACCUGUUUAAACAGAUUGCUUCUUUUCUUUGGAAAGCAUCUCAAAUGGCUACCAUUCUGUAAUCUACAAUUGUUUUCUAAGAUGGAAAGGCUAUAUGCAGUUACUUCAGUGUAAAUUCCACAAAGAUUCAGCAGAACUCACUUCUGGAAAGACAUGUACUGGAAUCUGGCUGCAAAAGAAUUUUUAUUAGCAUUAUCAUCUUUGUAUUAAUGGAGCUGAACUUGUGAAGAAAUCCUAAUUAAAUUUACAUCAUUUAAUGCAACUGAGUUUCAAUACAACUAGGUAGAUUACUGAGCUGCCUGUAAAUUUCCAUGUUUGAGCAUAGAUUUAGCAAAGACUAGCAUUUCCAUUAAGUUAUUCACCAGUGUUAUCUAUUACAGCAAGCCUAUAUUCAUGCCACUAGUUCAUUUUGCUUAACAUAUUAGUUCAAAGGUUAAGCAAUUACAAAACUUGGAAGAUUCAAGUAUUAUUAAUACACUAGUAACAGAAGCCCUGCCCCAAUAUCUGAUUGUCAUAAACCCACCUGUGGAAACCAUCUUUCAAAAGAUGUUGCAUGAUUUCAGGACAUGUGUUCUGUGCAUCUAAAAGAACAGAAAAGAAACAAUUUUAACACACAAAGGUUGAAUUCUUUUCCAUCCUAAAAAAAGGUGACUCACAGGAAAAGAAAAAUGAAGAAGUUAGCAAUAUUAAGCUUAAUAUAAAGGAAAUUCUCGAAGUCAUGUCAAACAACAGACGUUUACAUCCUGACAUUUGCUUGUGACUGCUUGCCUGAGAUAGUGCAAUAGCAAAUGCAUUGUCUAGUUUGCAUGAUAUGAGAAGUCAUGGUGAUUUUUUAAACCAUUUUCUGCCUGUCAUAUCAUUCAAACCUAGACAUGGUAUUUCAGCAUGGUGUGUUUGGUCUUUGGAAACCAAAAUAAAAAACAAUGGUUUGUUCUAUGGUUUCUGCAUGCCACAAUAGUUUCUCCUGUUGUCUGAUCAUGGUUUCUACAGACCUGAUGUUCAAUUACCACUGAGUCCCCUAGAAAAAGCAGCCGUUCUCAAGAGCCUCUCCAUUCAUCCAUCCAUCCUCUAGUACCUAACUGCCUGGUAACAGAUGUGUUGUUGCUUGCCUGACUCCUACAGGCUGUUCUCUGUUUGCACACCCUCCAUCUUCUCGUCAUCCAGAUGUCCAACUGUUAUUUUCCAGCCGCAGAGAAGCACAAAGUGCUGUCCUAAAGAGCUGGUCUCUCUAUUGCUAUGUGCCUGCUGCACUUUUCACAGAUACCAGUCUGAGUUGUCAUGCCUUUUAUUUUCAUUCCAAAAGUAUUUGGAUACAUGCUAGUGUGGGGAAGAAUGCUGUAAUGGGGGAGAACAAUAAUCAAAUUAUGUGCACAAAUUUUGGGCAGUACAGCUUGCAUAUCAGUGGAAGAUUUUACUAAGGUAUUCUAAGGUAUUCUUGAGAUAACAAUCUGUCUUAUAAUAUAGAACAAUCAAUUUCUAUAUGAAUAUAUCCUUUCAAGAAAGCAAUACACUUCCUUACACUACUGAAAUUAAAAUACACUUUACUAUA